This 1181-nucleotide ribosomal RNA is filed under the name Enterobacter hormaechei. RNAcentral describes it as "bacterial SSU rRNA". It matches the Rfam family "Bacterial small subunit ribosomal RNA", at positions 36 to 1214 of the family's 1533-position model. The record is from RNAcentral. Lineage: Bacteria; Pseudomonadati; Pseudomonadota; Gammaproteobacteria; Enterobacterales; Enterobacteriaceae.
CAAGGGGGCGGCUUAAACUUGCAAGUCGAACGGUAGCAGGAGGCAACUUGCUGCUUCGCUGACGAGUGGCGGACGGGUGAGUAAUGUCUGGGAAACUGCCUGAUGGAGGGGGAUAACUACUGGAAACGGUAGCUAAUACCGCAUAACGUCGCAAGACCAAAGAGGGGGACCUUCGGGCCUCUUGCCAUCGGAUGUGCCCAGAUGGGAUUAGCUAGUAGGUGGGGUAACGGCUCACCUAGGCGACGAUCCCUAGCUGGUCUGAGAGGAUGACCAGCCACACUGGAACUGAGACACGGUCCAGACUCCUACGGGAGGCAGCAGUGGGGAAUAUUGCACAAUGGGCGCAAGCCUGAUGCAGCCAUGCCGCGUGUAUGAAGAAGGCCUUCGGGUUGUAAAGUACUUUCAGCGGGGAGGAAGGUGUUGAGGUUAAUACCCUUGUCAAUUGACGUUACCCGCAGAAGAAGCACCGGCUAACUCCGUGCCAGCAGCCGCGGUAAUACGGAGGGUGCAAGCGUUAAUCGGAAUUACUGGGCGUAAAGCGCACGCAGGCGGUCUGUCAAGUCGGAUGUGAAAUCCCCGGGCUCAACCUGGGAACUGCAUUCGAAACUGGCAGGCUAGAGUCUUGUAGAGGGGGGUAGAAUUCCAGGUGUAGCGGUGAAAUGCGUAAAGAUCUGGAGGAAUACCGGUGGCGAACGCGGCCCCCUGGACCAAGACUGACGCUCAGGUGCGAAAGCGUGGGGAGCAAACAGGAUUACAUACCCUGGUAGUCCACGCCGUAAACGAUGUCGACUUGGAGGUUGUGCCCUUGAGGCUUGGCUUCCGGAGCUAACACGUUAACUCGACCGCCUGGGGAGUACNNCCGCAGGGUUAAAACUCAAAUGAAUUGACCGGGGCCCGCACAAGCGGUGGAGCAUGUGGUUUAAUUCGAUGCAACGCGAAGAACCUUACCUACUCUUGACCUCCGCAUAACUUAACAAANAUGCUUUGUUGCCUUCGGCAACUCUGAAACAGGUGGUGCAGGGCUGUCCUCACCUCCUCUCCCCAAAGUUAGAUUAAUUCCCUAACCAACCCAUCCCUUUCCUUUGUGGCGGCGGGUCGGCCGGGACUCCAAGGAAAAUGCCACCCANNACCGCCAGAAGGGGGGGAAGGGGUGGGGUUUGUUUUCCCUUUUGGGGGGGGGC